This is a long non-coding RNA of Lutra lutra (Eurasian river otter), 1361 nucleotides long. RefSeq lists it as uncharacterized. Lineage: Eukaryota; Metazoa; Chordata; Mammalia; Carnivora; Mustelidae. The transcript has 3 exons. The record is from RefSeq and is a predicted model, not a curated record.
GUCAUGCAUGUAAACUCCUACUUGUUUAAACCCAAGAAUUUUUUUCUUUAAGAAAGUAGAGAGUAGGUGAAGAAAAACAGGACAAUUUGUGAGUAUUUUCUUAAUAUGUUAAUUCAGAAGUAAUUUGUGGGACAUUUUGUGGACUAUCGGUUUGAAACUUAUUUGUUUAUUUCUAAGGAUAACAAAGCUGAUGUAAUUUUAAAGUACAAUGCUGAUGAAGCUAGAAUUCUGAAGGCAUAUGGCGAGCUUCCAGAACAUGCUAAAAUCAAUGAUACAGAUACAUUUGGUCCUGGAGAUGAUGAUGAAAUCCAGUUUGAUGAUAUUGGAGAUGAUGACGAAGACAUUGAUGAUAUCUGAAUUGAACUCAGAGUUUGUGAAGAUUAUUCUACAAUUUUGAUUUUGGCCAGCACCUGUUAAGAAGACUAAAACUUCACUUAGUAUGAACUUAGUUUGUUAAGACACACUGAUUUAUUUUCAUUGUUCUAAAGUAUUAUAUUUCUCUAAAAACUGAUGAAACUGAAUUACUUUAAGUGAAAAUUUAACACUUUAUUCAUUCGAUGCAAUUGAAUUUAGGAAUAAAAGACUACAAUUAUAACUCACUGCUGUCAAACAACAGAAACAAGUUAUUCCCACAUGACUACUUUAUUAUAGUUAAUAGGUGUUUUGAAUAAAUUGCCUUAUCAUUUUUGAUAAAGCCUUGUUUUGAUAAAGCCUUGUUCCAGCUAGUCUGUUUACAUUCUUCUCUAUAUUCUAGUUAUCUAGAUGUUUUCUAAGAUUUUUGACAUACUUUAAGAAAGGUAGAAGUCAAGAAAUGGAGCUAUAUUUGUAUUUAUGUACCCAUAUGUAUUUUUAUACUAAGUUUGAUAACUUAAACAUUCUUCUCAUCAUUUUACGUUGCCACCAUCAUUAAAAAAAUAUAUAUUUUCCAAAAUGCAGUUUUUAGAACAUGGGUUUGAAAAGCAGUUUUCAAUUUGUUAGAUUAUCAGUUGCAAUAAUUCAGUGUUAGGUGACCUAAUUAUUUUUACAUUGGAGGUAUUGACAUAUUAGUUGAUAGUAUUUUUACCCAAUGUGUAUAGAAAAUUUCUCAAGAACAACUUUUGAUGAUAAAACGAGACAGCCUUUUUUUUUUAAUUUUACAGAAUAGGUUGUGUUAAAUGUGUCACUUAUUGUCAAAAGUCAUAUGCAUUGUGACCCAUAUUUUUGGGCUUUAUGAACAAUUAAAUUACAAUGUAUAAAGGAAAAACUAAUUUUAUAGUAAGUUCUGUUAAACUAAGCCCUUCUUAAAGCCUUAUCUGGGUUUUACCAAAGGGAAAGAAAGGAACCACUACUAAGAAAUAUAAUAAAAUGUGUUGUUGAGUAUA